Molecule: transfer RNA, 69 nt
Filed under: Ictidomys tridecemlineatus (thirteen-lined ground squirrel)
Lineage: Eukaryota; Metazoa; Chordata; Mammalia; Rodentia; Sciuridae
Also listed under: 1 other name
Description: Spermophilus tridecemlineatus (thirteen-lined ground squirrel) tRNA
Rfam family: tRNA
About the family: Transfer RNA (tRNA) molecules are approximately 80 nucleotides in length. Their secondary structure includes four short double-helical elements and three loops (D, anti-codon, and T loops).
Source: Rfam by way of RNAcentral
GGGGUUGUGGCUCAGAGGUAGAGCACAUGCCUGGCAUGCAUGAGGCACUGGGUUCGAUCCUCAGCACCA